UCGCUCCUACCGAUUGAGUGAUCCGGUGAAUUAAUUGGACUGCAGCGCUUUCAGUUUACUGUGGUGUUACAGAAAAAUUUGUGAACCUUAUCACUUAGAGGAAGGAG
Molecule: ribosomal RNA, 107 nt
Filed under: uncultured eukaryote
Lineage: Eukaryota
Description: partial small subunit ribosomal RNA
Rfam family: Eukaryotic small subunit ribosomal RNA
Source: RNAcentral